This 253-nucleotide ribosomal RNA is filed under the name uncultured prokaryote. RNAcentral describes it as "partial 16S ribosomal RNA". It matches the Rfam family "Bacterial small subunit ribosomal RNA", at positions 524 to 776 of the family's 1533-position model. The record is from RNAcentral.
UACGUAGGUGGCAAGCGUUGUCCGGAUUUAUUGGGUUUAAAGGGUGCGUAGGCGGCCCUGUAAGUCAGUGGUGAAAUACUCCAGCUUAACUGGAGGGGUGCCAUUGAUACUGCAGGGCUUGAGUGGAGUCGAAGUAGGCGGAAUUGACGGUGUAGCGGUGAAAUGCUUAGAUAUGACAUAGAACACCAAUUGCGAAGGCAGCUGGCUACACAAAUAUUGACACUGAGGCACGAAAGCGUGGGGAUCAAACAGG